AUGAAAAAUCAUCGACCAAGGGGCAUACUUAAUGAGGUUAAAAUCUAUCUCCUCUUCAGAAACCAAGAGACAAGAGGAAAGAUGGACAGAAUUUCAAAAUACUCACAGAAAAUGUUGGGCAUCAAGAAUUUUGUGUCUUGCACAAGGGCCAGACUUCGAUCCUUGAUAAACCACUAAAAUGAAUGGAUGUUCUAAGGAAAUGAAGAAAAUUACUGGAGUUGAGAAAUAAGCAAGUGAGGGAACUGAGAAGAAAUGUCACAGAGAAGCGUCUUCACAAUUUAAGGACAGCUAUGUAUUCAGAAACCUGCAACGUGAUACCAGCACAGGGCACGGAACCUGGUGAGGACCAAGUUACACACAGCCAGGACCUAGAAAGUGUGCUUUUGAACUUACAGGAAAAAAACAACCAGAAAUGACAAAGAGCACAAGCACACAGGAAAAAAAGCCAUGAUAUUCUCU
This 459-nucleotide long non-coding RNA is filed under the name Fukomys damarensis (Damara mole-rat). Its description in RNAcentral is "lncRNA (ENSFDAG00000024514.1)". The record is from RNAcentral. Lineage: Eukaryota; Metazoa; Chordata; Mammalia; Rodentia; Bathyergidae.